UCUCUCUCGUCGUUCCCAGAUCGAUCGAAUUGAAUGAAUAUGUAAAAAGCCCUAUUAUAUCUUUAGGGGUAUAUUUGUCAAUUACUUAAAAAUAAUGGAUGGAAUGAUUUAUUCCUGGCCACCCCUCAAGGAAUGAAAAUUAAAAUUUUAAGUUAACUAUCAUUCCAGGAGGAAUACAUUAUUCCGUUGGAAUAAACAAACCAAACAACAUUUUUAUCAUUCCA
Molecule: long non-coding RNA, 224 nt
Filed under: Panax ginseng (ginseng)
Lineage: Eukaryota; Viridiplantae; Streptophyta; Magnoliopsida; Apiales; Araliaceae
Description: long non-coding RNA (PGIN_LNC006259)
Source: RNAcentral